RNAcentral lists this transfer RNA (500 nucleotides) under Hydrocoryne sp. CENA393. RNAcentral's name for it is "16S-23S ribosomal RNA intergenic spacer". The stretch from base 283 to 355 matches the Rfam family "tRNA". Lineage: Bacteria; Bacillati; Cyanobacteriota; Cyanophyceae; Nostocales; Aphanizomenonaceae. The record is from RNAcentral. RNAcentral also lists the same sequence under 1 other name.
CCUUUUAGGGAGACCUAAUCCAUUGAGAUAUCGAACACAAUUAGUAAUUAGAUUCUUAAUUGGUCUAUCCUAGGUCGGUCGCAGACUUGAAGUAAGGCUUUCAAACUGUAAUUUGGUUCAUUAAGGGCUAUUAGCUCAGGUGGUUAGAGCGCACCCCUGAUAAGGGUGAGGUCCCUGGUUCGAGUCCAGGAUGGCCCACCUGAAAAUAAUUGGUAAUUGCUAAUUUGUGAUUCGUAAUUAAACGCAUACGAGUUAGGGAUUACGGAUUACAAAUUAUUGGAUGGGGGUUUAGCUCAGUUGGUAGAGCGCCUGCUUUGCAAGCAGGAUGUCAGCGGUUCGAGUCCGCUAACCUCCACAUUGGAAAAGAGUCAGCAACUGACGGGAGAGUCAGACUGCUGGGUUAGAACCAGUCAGAACCUUGAAAACUGCAUAGUAACGCGAAUUAGCAGGCAGACACAGACAUCCGAAAGGAAAGUGAAUGCAAGUCGAAAAUGAAAAGU